ACACUUAGCUGGUGGGAAGAUACUAUGAUCACGAAGGUGGUUUUCUCAGGGUGAGGCUUAUCCAUUGCACUCCUGAUGUGCUGACUCCUGUGAUUUCCCCAAAUGUGGGAAACUUGACCGCAAAAUUUGUGGCUGUGGGGAGAGUGUAUUUGCACUCUCCCCUG
Molecule: small nuclear RNA, 164 nt
Filed under: Carlito syrichta (Philippine tarsier)
Lineage: Eukaryota; Metazoa; Chordata; Mammalia; Primates; Tarsiidae
Description: U1 spliceosomal RNA (ENSTSYG00000034721.1)
Rfam family: U1 spliceosomal RNA
About the family: U1 is a small nuclear RNA (snRNA) component of the spliceosome (involved in pre-mRNA splicing).
Source: Rfam by way of RNAcentral